Molecule: ribosomal RNA, 226 nt
Filed under: uncultured bacterium
Lineage: Bacteria
Description: partial 16S ribosomal RNA
Rfam family: Bacterial small subunit ribosomal RNA
Source: RNAcentral
UACGGAGGGAGCUAGCGUUAUUCGGAAUUACUGGGCGUAAAGCGCACGUAGGCGGCUUUGUAAGUAAGAGGUGAAAGCCUGGAGCUCAACUCCAGAACUGCCUUUUAGACUGCAUCGCUUGAAUCCAGGGGAGGUGAGUGGAAUUCCGAGUGUAGAGGUGAAAUUCGUAGAUAUUCGGAAGAACACCAGUGGCGAAAGGCGGCUGCACUGGCUCGUAACUGACGCU